Chelonoidis abingdonii (Abingdon island giant tortoise) is the source of this 829-nucleotide non-coding RNA. Lineage: Eukaryota; Metazoa; Chordata; Testudines; Testudinidae. The record is from RefSeq and is a predicted model, not a curated record.
UCUGAACUGGUUGAUGCAAUUGCAUUCCCACUCAGUGCACUACAGUCCGUAAGAAACUAGAGUACUUUACUGCUAGGAUUUGUGAAAGCACUAGUUAUGCAUGGUGCACAUCACGGUGUCAGCAAUAAUAUUUUGACUGGAUUCCAUAUACUGGUUGUUGCCUGGCAGAUUUAAAACUGCAAAAUUGACAUUGUUCAUUCAUUCCAUGAGCUGACAUGCUGCUGUACAUAAAAUCACAAAUGCUGAUGAGGCUCAGUAGCCCAACAUGCAAGAGCAACUUCUGCUCACAUUAAUACACAAUAAAACCUCCUUGUCCUUGUCAAGGCAUAUCUUCCUUCCUAGUGAACUUUCUAGGUGCUUAUCCAAGGGUGGAAUUAGAAAAUAUCUGCAGUGAGCACUGCCUGCAAUAAAUGCCUGGGAAGAGGAUAGGUGGGGAUUUAAGGAAAUGUAUCAUUAGACUUUAACCUGGCUGUAUGGUAGCCACCUCAACUACCAAACUCUUAUUUAGAAUAGAAAAUACUUAGCACUGUUUCGUAUCUGUGUGACCAAACUAUAAUCAGAUUAUUACAUUGAUCUAGCACCUAUCAUCUCAAAGGAUACUAAAGCACAGUGCAAAUGACAAUAUGCAACUACUGCUUCAACAAUCAAUGAAAAACAGUCACCUUUGGAGUGGAAUACAGCAGUUUGAAUUUGUUUGUUAAGAUUUUUUUCUGUUAACGACAACACAGCAACCCUAUAUGAUAGUCUGACAGACAGCAAAGAAGAGAAGAGAAACUGCAGCAGCAAUUUGGGUAGACAGCCAAUUUGCAGGGGCAGCAGCUGGAAGGGA